AGGGAGGGAGGGAAGAACAGAGCGGUGGAGGCGGAUACGUGCGGCUACAGCUGGAGGUCGAUACAUUCGGUGUGGUGAUCGCGGCGAAGGAGCGACGCCCCGCCCAGUUGCCGCCGCCGGCCGCCGGCCACCACGGAGCGAGACCUCAGUGAGGCGGUGAAGUACGGGGCUUCUGCCCGAGCUCACCACAGCAGUGUCAGCGUGUGGAAGGCGGUGAUAGCGGAAUGGCCAGUUUCCGUCUCACCGGUCUGGAGGCACGCAAGGUGUUUGUUAGAAUGCUUAGCAGCGGGACAGGUAGCAGCGAUGCCGCUGUGGAGGCUUUUGACCCCGCCAAGCGCCUCUGCAAGCUCAUCAUCUCCUGCCGGCAGGCCUCGGGGCUUGAGAUCGAGCUCGACCACAGCGACCUCCGAGUCACCCCGGACGUCGCCGAGCGCGUCCUCGAGCGCCUCGACAACGCUGGCAUGCUCGCGUAUCGCUUCUUCGAGUGGGCGCGCAAGCAGAGGCGUGGUGGCUGCGCCCACACCGUCCGCUCCUUCCACACGGUGGUCGCGUCCCUCGCCAAGAUCCGCCAGUACCAGCUCAUGUGGGACGUCGUUGCCGUAAUGUGCCGGCAGGGCGUGGUCAAUGUCGAGACGUUUGGCAUCAUAAUGCGGAAGUACGCACGGGCGCAGAAGGUCGAUGAAUCUGUUUACACGUUCAAUGUCAUGGAGAAGUACGGCGUGGUGCCUAACCUCGCCGCUUUCAACAGCCUGCUUUGCGCACUGUGCAAGUCCAAGAAUGUGCGCAAGGCACAGGAGAUCUUUGAACAGAUGAAUGACCGGUUCAGCCCUGAUGCCAAGACCUAUAGCAUCUUGCUUGAGGGUUGGGGGAGAGCGCCUAAUCUCCCAAAGAUGCGAGAGGUCUACAGUGAGAUGCUUGAUGCAGGCUGCCAGCCUGACAUAGUCACAUAUGGCAUCAUGGUUGAUUCCCUCUGCAAGACAGGCCGUGUUGAGGAAGCUGUCUUUGUGGUGCAGGACAUGAGCUCCAGGGGCUGCCAACCAACAACCUUCAUAUACAGUGUGCUCGUGCAUACUUACGGUGUUGAAAUGAGGAUCGAGGAUGCUGUUGCAACAUUUUUGGAUAUGCAGAAGGACGGAAUCGUGCCAGAUGUUGUGGUUUAUAAUGCACUUGUCACUGCCUUCUGCAAAGUGAAAAAAUUUGACAAUGCAUUUAGAGUCAUGGAUGACAUGGAAGGCCAUGGAAUCACCCCAAACUCAAGGACCUGGAACAUCAUCCUUAACAAGAUGAUUAGCCUUGGAAAGGAUGAAGAAGCAUACAGGGUCUUCCGCCGUAUGAUAAAGCGCUGCCAGCCAGAUUCUGAUACAUACACCAUGAUGAUAAAGAUGUUCUGUGAGAAUGACAGGUUAGAGAUGGCACUGAAGGUAUGGAAAUAUAUGAGGUUGAAGCAGUUUCUGCCGAGCAUGCACACGUUCUCUGUGCUGAUCAACGGGCUGUGUGACAAGGGUGAGGUUAGCCAAGCUUGUGUUCUGCUUGAAGAUAUGAUAGAGAAGGGCAUUAGACCCCCUGGUUCAACAUUUGGCAAGCUGAGGCAGCUCCUUCUGAAGGAAGGAAGGAAGGAUGUGCUUGAAUUUCUCGUUGAUAAAAUGAAGAUUCUGAUACAGGAACCUUUGUUUGAUUGACCAUUCAUUAUGUUCCAAUGCAGGAGACAACGGCUAAUAGUGAUUCUUCUGCAUAGAUAGUUUAGUUGAAAAGAUAUCACCUCAAUGUCUCUGUGAAAAGGGGGGAAAUCAAUUCAAUGUAGAUUUUCUUUCACCGAGGCUUGAGGGAGCAAAUGCCCAAUUCUCCAGGAUGGAUAAGGUUUUCCAUGUCAUAUUCUUGCAGUAGUUAUAUGUCCAUGAUGAAAUCUCUUCUUCAUACUGCCUAAAAACUACUGUUGUCUUGUGUCAUAAUUCAUAGGUAAAGGUAAAAUCCAAUUGUAAGAAAAUAAAGCCAUUGACAAGAGGCAUAGAGGUUUCCUUGGAAAGGUCAAGCAAAAGACAACAGUGGCAAGCAAACCCAAAUCUUGAAGAUUUGAUGGGCUCUGCACAUCAGAUGGCUAUGGCUGUAAAAAACAGAUGCCUCAAGACCCUGGGUUGAGUUUCACGCAGUGCUCAAGCGCUUUUUGGGGUAGCGGCGGAAUCCAUUGUGCACGGGAGGCAAGAAAAUUCUGAUCUGACCGGUGGUUGUAAGGCAGAACAAUCACUGAGUUGGCUCCUAACUUGAUCAAGUUGAUCUCCAUAAGAGUUGUUAAACAUCGAACUGUUGCUCAAGACCUGAACAGCCAAGGAUGGGUAACUGACAUCAAAGGAGCCCUAACGGUACAAGUGAACUAUUGAGUGUCUUCAGAUUUGGGACAUGGUUGAUAAUCUGGUCUUACAUCAGAAGUUCAUGAUCAGCAGCGGUGGCGUUUCACUCGGUCAGGUUCCUACAUCAGUACAUAUGCAUAUCACACUUUCUUCAUUGGAACCAUCAAGUUCACACCUUGGAAACAAAUCUGGAAAAGCUGGUCUGCACUGCGAAUUUUCAUUUCGUUAGUUGUAAACAGCCGGUGUUGGACAGCUGACCGACUUGCGAAGCGCGGCCUUCCCUAUCCAGUUGCUUGUCCCCUCUGUGAUCAGGCUGAGGAAACAAUCCAACACACCAUCAUCUCAUGUGUGUUUGCUCGGCAGGUCUGGACACUAAUUUUCCAAAGGUUGGGCCUGAUUGCUAUUGUCCCUCAACCUACUGCUGCUCAGUUCUCUGCUUGGUGGAGCAAUGCUAUCAGUAGGGUUCCAAAGGUGCUGAGAGAAGGCCUCAACUCCCUGAUCAUUUUAAUACCUUGGGAGCUUUGGAAGCACCGAAAUGAUUGUGUUUGAAGGGGCAAACCCAAGUGUUAAGGUGGUUUUGCAAACAGUGGAUGAGAAUGGUUUAUGGUGUCUGGCUGGAAUCUCUGCGCUUCAUAAGCUCCUCCUUCGGUCGCUCUCCCUGGACUCUUAUUAUUGGGGAGGUGACCUGGUCGUGGACGUUUAAAAUUCAUAGUGGCGUGUUUGUAGUCCUGUUGUGUGUGUGCUGGGUGUGUUUUAUGAGUAGUCUCUUUGGCCUCUCCCCUGUACUGUUUUUUCUCUCUUAACGAAAUGACACGCAGCUCUCAUGCGUUGUUCUAGAAAAAUAGAAAAACAUCUUUGACUGAAUGAAAGCACUUGAUGACACGAUUGAGAAGUCA
RNA transcript from Triticum aestivum (bread wheat), 3241 nucleotides. It is a transcript of the gene named pentatricopeptide repeat-containing protein At1g77360, mitochondrial, with no coding region annotated. The record is from RefSeq and is a predicted model, not a curated record. The transcript is spliced from 3 exons. NCBI's taxonomy places the organism in Eukaryota, Viridiplantae, Streptophyta, Magnoliopsida, Poales, Poaceae.